This 449-nucleotide ribosomal RNA is filed under the name uncultured microorganism. RNAcentral's name for it is "bacterial SSU rRNA". It matches the Rfam family "Archaeal small subunit ribosomal RNA", at positions 330 to 740 of the family's 1478-position model. The record is from RNAcentral.
GCGCAGCAGGCGAGAAUACUCCGCAAUGCCCGAAAGGGUGACGGGGGGAUUCCAAGUGCCUACGCUUAGCGUAGGCUGUUCAGGUGCCUAAAAAGCACCUGGAGGAAGGGCUGGGUAAGACGGGUGCCAGCCGCCGCGGUAAUACCCGCAGCCCGAGUGGUAGUCGCUUUUAUUGGGCCUAAAGCGUCCGUAGCCGGUCUGGUAAAUGCCUGGGUAAAUCGUGGGGCUUAACCUCACGAAUUCCGGGUAGACUGCCAGACUUGGGACCGGUUGAGGGAGAGGGUACUCCAGGGGUAGGGGUGAAAUCAGCAAGGUAAGCUGAUGUAACUUGCCUUGCAAGUCACAAUCCUGUAAUCCUUGGAGGACCACCGGUGGCGAAAGCGCUCUCCUAGGACGGGUCCGACGGUGAGGGACGAAAGCCAGGGGAGCAAACCGGAUUAGAUACCCCG